Molecule: ribosomal RNA, 312 nt
Filed under: Triticum aestivum (bread wheat)
Lineage: Eukaryota; Viridiplantae; Streptophyta; Magnoliopsida; Poales; Poaceae
Description: partial small subunit ribosomal RNA
Source: RNAcentral
AUGAGUAAUAUAUUUUAUGGUCAUGCACCCUUGAAGAGUGGUCUAUUCUUGUUGAAUCUCGAUUGUAGUAACACACAUAUUCAUAAUAUUGAUGCCAAAAGAUGCAAAGUUGAUAAUGAUAGUGCAACAUAUUUAUGGCACUGCCGUUUAGGUCAUAUUGGUGUAAAGCGCAUGAAGAAACGCCAUAUAGAUGGACUUUUGGAAACACUUGAUUAUGAAUCAUUUGAUACUUGCGAACCAUGCCUCAUGGGCAAGAUGACUAAAACUCCGUCUCCGGAACAAUGGAGUGAACUAAUGACUUAUUGGAAAUAA